This 487-nucleotide ribosomal RNA is filed under the name Diplocardia eiseni. Its description in RNAcentral is "partial 16S ribosomal RNA". It matches the Rfam family "Bacterial large subunit ribosomal RNA", at positions 1800 to 2586 of the family's 2925-position model. The record is from RNAcentral. Lineage: Eukaryota; Metazoa; Annelida; Clitellata; Crassiclitellata; Megascolecidae.
CUGUUUAUCAAAAACAUAGCUUCAUGAAAUAAUAUAUGAAGUAAUUCCUGCCCAGUGACAUUAGUUCAACGGCCGCGGUAUCCUAACCGUGCAAAGGUAGCAUAAUCACUUGCCUAUUAAUUGUAGGCUAGAAUGAACGGAUAAACGAAAUAAACACUGUCUCUAUCAUUAAACUAAAAAUUAUUCUCCACUCGAAGAAACGUGGAUUUAUUCGUAGGACAAGAAGACCCUAUAGAGCUUUAUUAAAAAACAAAACAACAUUGUUCUAAAAUUCGGUUGGGGCGACCAAGGGAAUACUUAUCACCCUUUACUAAAGAGAUAUAUUAAUCUAAUAAAUGACCCUUAUAAGAUCACAAAAUCAAGCUACCUUAGGGAUAACAGGCUAAUCCUAUUAUAGAGUUCUUAUCAACAAUAGGGUUUGGCACCUCGAUGUUGGCUUAGGGUAUCUAUAUAGCGCAAAAGCUACAUAAAGAUGGUUUGUUCGCCC